Molecule: ribosomal RNA, 433 nt
Filed under: uncultured soil bacterium
Lineage: Bacteria
Description: bacterial SSU rRNA
Rfam family: Bacterial small subunit ribosomal RNA
Source: RNAcentral
AGAUUGAACGCUGGCGGCAGGCCUAACACAUGCAAGUCGAGCGGCAGCACGGGUACUUGUACCUGGUGGCGAGCGGCGGACGGGUGAGUAAUGCCUAGGAAUCUGCCUGAUAGUGGGGGAUAACGCUCGGAAACGGACGCUAAUACCGCAUACGUCCUACGGGAGAAAGCAGGGGACCUUCGGGCCUUGCGCUAUCAGAUGAGCCUAGGUCGGAUUAGCUAGUUGGUGGGUAAUGGCUCACCAAGGCGACGAUCCGUAACUGGUCUGAGAGGAUGAUCAGUCACACUGGAACUGAGACACGGUCCAGACUCCUACGGGAGGCAGCGAGUGGGGAAUAGUUGGACAAGUGGGACGAAAGCCGUGAUCCAGGCCAUCGACCGGCGUGGUGUGGAAGGAAGGUUCUUACGGAUUGUAAAAGCUAACGUUUAAGGUU